This 253-nucleotide ribosomal RNA is filed under the name uncultured bacterium. RNAcentral describes it as "partial 16S ribosomal RNA". It matches the Rfam family "Bacterial small subunit ribosomal RNA", at positions 524 to 776 of the family's 1533-position model. The record is from RNAcentral.
UACGUAGGGUGCGAGCGUUGUCCGGAAUUAUUGGGCGUAAAGAGCUCGUAGGCGGUUUGUUGCGUCGGCUGUGAAAUCCCGAGGCUCAACCUCGGGUCUGCAGUCGAUACGAGCAAACUAGAGUGUUGCAGGGGAGACUGGAGUUCCUGGUGUAGCGGUGAAAUGCGCAGAUAUCAGGAGGAACACCGGUGGCGAAGGCGGGUCUCUGGGCAACAACUGACGCUGAGGAGCGAAAGCGUGGGGAGCGAACAGG